RNAcentral lists this ribosomal RNA (411 nucleotides) under uncultured bacterium. RNAcentral's name for it is "bacterial SSU rRNA". It matches the Rfam family "Bacterial small subunit ribosomal RNA", at positions 127 to 518 of the family's 1533-position model. The record is from RNAcentral.
UGCCCAUAAGAGGGGGAGUAACAUCCGGAAACGGGUAGCUAAUACCGCAUAGUUUUCUUGGUCGCAUGAUCGGGAAGGAAAGACGGCCUUUGUGCUGUCGCUUAUGGAUGGACCCGCGGCGUAUUAGUUAGUUGGUGAGGUAACGGCCCACCAAGACGAUGAUACGUAGCCGACCUGAGAGGGUGAUCGGCCACAUUGGGACUGAGACACGGCCCAAACUCCUACGGGAGGCAGCAGUAGGGAAUCUUCCGCAAUGGACGAAAGUCUGACGGAGCAACGCCGCGUGAGUGAAGAAAAGGGUUUUCGGAUCGUAAAACUCUGUUGUCAGAGAAGAACAAGUUGGAGAGUAACUGCUCCAGCCUUGACGGUAUCUGACCAGAAAGCCACGGCUAACUACGUGCCAGCCGCUGC